AGAACGAACGCUGGCGGCGCGCUUAACACAUGCAAGUCGGACGCUCCCUUCGGGGGGAGUGGCGGACGGGUGAGUAACGCGUGGGAACCUGCCCUGGAGUUCGGGACAACCGCGGGAAACUGCGGCUAACACCGGAUACGCCCUUAGGGGGAAAGUUUACGCUCUGGGAUGGGCCCGCGUCGGAUUAGCUUGUUGGUGGGGUAACGGCCUACCAAGGCAUCGAUCCGUAGCUGGUCUGAGAGGAUGGCCAGCCACACUGGGACUGAGACACGGCCCAGACUCCUACGGGAGGCAGCAGUGGGGAAUCUUGGACAAUGGGCGCAAGCCUGAUCCAGCGACGCCGCGUGGGUGACGAAGGCCUUCGGGUUGUAAAGCCCUUUUCUCGGGGGCGAUGAUGACGGUACCCGAGGAAUAAGCACCGGCUAACUCCGUGCCAGCAGCCGC
This 444-nucleotide ribosomal RNA is filed under the name uncultured bacterium. Its description in RNAcentral is "SSU rRNA". It matches the Rfam family "Bacterial small subunit ribosomal RNA", at positions 26 to 518 of the family's 1533-position model. The record is from RNAcentral.